Molecule: ribosomal RNA, 485 nt
Filed under: uncultured bacterium
Lineage: Bacteria
Description: partial 16S ribosomal RNA
Rfam family: Bacterial small subunit ribosomal RNA
Source: RNAcentral
AUUGAACGCUGGCGGCAUGCCUUACACAUGCCAGUCGAACGGCAGCACGGGUGCUUGCCCCUGGUGGCGAAUGGCGAACGGGUGAGUAAUACAUCGGAACAUGUCCUGUAGUGGGGGAUAGCCCGGCGAAAGCCGGAUUAAUACCGCAUACGAUCCACGGAUGAAAGCGGGGGACCUUCGGGCCUCGCGCUAUAGGGUUGGCCGAUGGCUGAUUAGCUAGUUGGUGGGGUAAAGGCCUACCAAGGCGACGAUCAGUAGCUGGUCUGAGAGGACGACCAGCCACACUGGGACUGAGACACGGCCCAGACUCCUACGGGAGGCAGCAGUGGGGAAUUUUGGACAAUGGGCGAAAGCCUGAUCCAGCAAUGCCGCGUGUGUGAAGAAGGCCUUCGGGUUGUAAAGCACUUUUGUCCGGAAAGAAAUCCUUGGCUCUAAUACAGUCGGGGGAUGACGGUACCGGAAGAAUAAGCACCGGCUAACUACGU